UCUUUGAGGCUUGUAAAGGAGAACGCCUUGCGUUUGAGCUUGAACAUGAUAAGCCUGGCAGAAGCCUGAUGAACCCAGAAUGAGUGAGAUGUGGCAGGAUCCUGAAGUAGGAAAUCUAUGAAAAAAAUGACAAGACUCUGAAGAAUUAACUCGCCAGGAGGGACUCAAUUGGAGGCUUGAAUCUGACAUGGAGACUGAGAACCCUUGAAUAGAUGAAGACAGUAUCUUUUUUUUUUUUCCUUCAAUCUUUUUUUUUUAAAUCUAUUUGUUUGGUUGCUUUUUGGGGACUAAGAAAUUUUUAAACUGCCCUGAUAUCUACAAGGCUGUCACAGGGAAAGGUGACGACUGGAGAAUACCUACACUACAAUAGAUAAAAAGGCGGUGGCUUCCUAGGCUGCAGAGAACAAGUCCUUUCUAGCAGUGGCUCAGGACCACUGUUUUGAAAAGUGUAAUUAAUUUGCUUCUCUGACCUUGAUUGCUACCUUUAAAAGAAGCUUUAAAGCCUACUUGGUCUCCUAAACUUGCCAAGCCCUCUGCCUGGGUCUAGUCAGCAAUCUUGCUCUGCCCAGACCUCUUACUGUCUGACCACAGGGCUUAGCUAACCCCAUUUGUGUCACACCCCACUGCUAUGCCUCCUUUGGAAAGGCCUAUUUAAGAAGUAGCUCUCUAUAUAAAUGGAAGGACAUUAAAGACUCUUAAUGGAGUAAACACCCAAGAGAUAAGGAAUCAAGGUGGAGGGGUUGGUCUUGGACAUGGUAAAUGUAGAGAUAGAGACUAUCUAGACAGAAAGGUUAAACUUAUAAGUCUUCAUUCUACAAAGUAUGAUGCAAAUUCCUUUUAAAGAGGAACUGUGAAUUGUAUAGUAUGUGAAUUAUCUUUCAAUAAAGCUAUUUUUAAAAAGCAGAGAAUGUAAGAGAUGGAAUAGGAUUAGAAAAGUAUUGAGUUUAAAAAUCACAUUCAUAUUACGAUGGCAAUUCCUGGUUAUGGGUCUCUUUAAUGAUGUUUCUAUACAGAGUGAAUGUAGUAGUCUGUAUGUUUCUCUCUUCCUUUUUAAUUGAAAUAUUAGAUUGCUCCAAAGGUUUCCAUAUACUGUUCAACUUCCUAGCAGUCAUUCCAGAAAAGGAACAAAUGAAGCAUUAACCAUAUGUUUACUAAUCAACAAAUGCAAAUGUGAUGGCUAUACUAAAUAUUCUAAUGCAUAAAUAAUAUUUAUAUUGUAUGUGUUAGGCUGUACAUAACAGACAAGGCAACUAGCAGUGGCUUAAAUAAAAAAUAUUUAUUAUUAAAUAAAUAUUAGAAUA
This is a non-coding RNA of Chlorocebus sabaeus (green monkey), 1301 nucleotides long. The record is from RefSeq and is a predicted model, not a curated record. Lineage: Eukaryota; Metazoa; Chordata; Mammalia; Primates; Cercopithecidae.